GACGAACGCUGGCGGCGUGCCUAACACAUGCAAGUCGAGCGAUGAAGUUCUUCGGAACGGAUUAGCGGCGGACGGGUGAGUAACGCGUGAGCAAUCUGCCUUACACAAAGGGAUAGCCUCGGGAAACUGGGAUUAAUACCAUAUGACACUUGGUAAUCGCAUGAGGACCAAGUCAAAGAUUUUAUCGGUGUAAGAUGAGCUCGCGUCUGAUUAGCUAGUUGGUGGGGUAAAGGCCUACCAAGGCGACGAUCAGUAGCCGGCCUGAGAGGGUGAACGGCCACACUGGAACUGAGACACGGUCCAGACUCCUACGGGAGGCAGCAGUGGGGAAUAUUGCACAAUGGGCGCAAGCCUGAUGCAGCGACGCCGCGUGAGCGAAGAAGGUUUUCGGAUCGUAAAGCUCUGUCCUCUGGGAAGAAAAAAAUGACGGUACCAGAGGAGGAAGCCCGGCUAACUACGUG
RNAcentral lists this ribosomal RNA (461 nucleotides) under uncultured bacterium. Its description in RNAcentral is "bacterial SSU rRNA". It matches the Rfam family "Bacterial small subunit ribosomal RNA", at positions 28 to 507 of the family's 1533-position model. The record is from RNAcentral.